ACAAAUUGAAGAAAUCAUGCCACAUUUCCAAUAGCGAGGCAUGGUCCAUUCAUGUCCCAAGAUGCAAGAUGGCAGACACUAUCACACGUUGAUGUCGGCACACUUUGAUCUGCCUGUUCUGGCGAAUUCAGAAGAACUACUGCAUGAAAAUCUCUGAAAUGUAUAGUUCUCAGAUACCGAAACUGGCUGCUGAGGCUACAAAGUGGGAGGUGGUGUAAGGUUAUGCUGUGUUGGGAGAGGAGGGAGAGAGUUAUAGUUGUAGGCACCAUUGUUCACACUGCAUAAAAAACAGA
This 293-nucleotide long non-coding RNA is filed under the name Eucalyptus grandis. Its description in RNAcentral is "long non-coding RNA (EGRA_LNC005325)". The record is from RNAcentral. Lineage: Eukaryota; Viridiplantae; Streptophyta; Magnoliopsida; Myrtales; Myrtaceae.